UUCCGACGCGCAGCAGAUCGUGGCUCCUUACGGGCCUAAGAGGGAACAUGGGUGAGCCUCGGCUCCAACCAUGGCUGCCCCCGCAACUGUAAGCAGCGAGUCGCUCCGCACACACGCCACUGAGCAAUCGGGAAGGCCGCGCCGCGAUGACGACCUGCCAGCCAGGAGACCUGCCGACGACGCAGUCGCGAG
This 192-nucleotide non-coding RNA is filed under the name Aquipseudomonas alcaligenes. Lineage: Bacteria; Pseudomonadati; Pseudomonadota; Gammaproteobacteria; Pseudomonadales; Pseudomonadaceae. The record is from RNAcentral.